RNAcentral lists this ribosomal RNA (607 nucleotides) under uncultured Tomentella. RNAcentral's name for it is "eukaryotic LSU rRNA". The stretch from base 171 to 325 matches the Rfam family "5.8S ribosomal RNA". Lineage: Eukaryota; Fungi; Basidiomycota; Agaricomycetes; Thelephorales; Thelephoraceae. The record is from RNAcentral.
CUCGAAUGGGGACAUGUGCACGCUCUGUUUACACAUCCACUCACACCUGUGCACCCUCUGUAGUUUUAUGGUCUGGGGGACCCUGUCUUCCUUCCGUAGUUCUACGUCUUUACACACACACUGUAAUAAAGUCUUAUGGAAUGUAUGCCGCGUCUAACGCAACACAAUACAACUUUCAGCAACGGAUCUCUUGGCUCUCGCAUCGAUGAAGAACGCAGCGAAAUGCGAUAAGUAAUGUGAAUUGCAGAAUUCAGUGAAUCAUCGAAUCUUUGAACGCACCUUGCGCCCCUUGGAUAUUCCGAGGGGCAUGCCUGUUUGAGUAUCAUGAACACCUCAACUCUCAUGGUUUGCCAUGACGAGCUUGGACCUUGGGGGUUUUGCUGGCCUGUGGUCGGCUCCUCUCAAAUGAAUCAGCCUCCCAGUGUUUGGUGGCAUCACGAGUGUGAUAACUAUCUACGCUCGCGGUUGCCCACCAGGUAACCUUUGGUGACAAAGGUUCGCUGGAGCUCACAGAUGUCUCUCCUUAGCGAGGACAGCUUUUUAACGUUCGAUCUCAAAUCAGGUAGGACUACCCGCUGAACUUAAGCAUAUCAAUAAGCGGGAGGAA